RNAcentral lists this ribosomal RNA (1092 nucleotides) under Triticum aestivum (bread wheat). RNAcentral's name for it is "partial small subunit ribosomal RNA". The record is from RNAcentral. Lineage: Eukaryota; Viridiplantae; Streptophyta; Magnoliopsida; Poales; Poaceae.
AUGGCCACCGCCACCACUUCCUCCUCCUCGUCCACCCCCAAGAACCCUAACCCUUUCAAUCUGCCUCCAUGGCUUCGCUGCCCCCUCACCUUCCUCUGCCCGCCCCCUCCCUCUCCCCCGCCGCCCCCUCCCCCGCCUACCCCACCACCCCCGCCCCCGGAGCCGACGGUGGUGGCUCCAGCGCAGCGGUACAGGAGGCCGGGGCUGCGGGUGACCACGGAGUACGACAGCGAGGAGGCCUUGUUUGCGCACAAGGUGUCGUGCAAGCUCGCGGGGGGUCUCGCCAAGUUGCGGCUGUCGUUCCAGAGCGACCAGCAGGGCCGCGGAGAGGACCCGCGGCAGCUCUUCGGGGCGCCGGUGCUGUCGUUCUUCACCAAGCACUUCUCCGCGAUGUAUGACGUUGAGGGCCGCAACGCGCUGCUCCGUGGUAACGCUUCGCUCCCCGGUGGCGCCGUCCAGCUUCGCGCCUCGCACGAUGUCAAGGAGCAAGAAGGAGAAGUUUCAGUAAUAACUAGGUUGGGUGACCCGUCUUAUAGACUUGAGAUAUCAUCUUUGGUCCCUUACAGUGGUUUGCCAAGAGCAACACUCCACUUUCCAAUUGGUCAAGUUUCAGUGGAAGAGAGGACAAAUGAAGAAGACCAAAAAAUGUUGUCAGUGUAUGGGAUUGCGAAAACUGAUUUUUUAGAUGGCAUUCUUACUGCUCAAUACAAUGAAAAUGAUUUGAAUCUAAGAUAUUGUUAUAAGGACAAUGAAUUAACUUUAAUUCCUAGCGUCUCCUUGCCUUCCAAUGCAGUAUCCCUAGACUUCAAAAGGCGUUUUGGUUCUUCUGAUAAGUUAAGCUAUCAUUUUAACUUCGACACUGAUGAAUGGAAUGCUGUUUAUAAGCAUACAAUUGGUAAAAAUUACAAAGUGAAAGCUGGUUAUGAUUCAGAGGUGCGAGUUGGAUGGGCUUCCAUCUGGGCUGGGCAAGAAGAGGGCAAAGCAAAGACUGCACCUAUGAAGAUGAAGGUUCAGCUUAUGCUUCAGGUGCCCCAGGAUAAUAUUCGCAAUCCUUCUUUACUAUUUCGAGUGAAGAAAAGGUGGGAUCUGUAG